GAUGAACGCUGGCGGCGUGCCUAAUACAUGCAAGUCGAGCGAACGGACGAGAAUCGGGCGUUUCUGAUGUUAGCGGCGGACGGGUGAGUAACACGUGGAUAACCUACGUAUAAGACUGGGAUAAAUUCGGGAAACCGGAGCUAAUACCGGAUAAUAUUUUGAACCGCAUGGGUCAAAAGUGAAAGACGGUCUUGCUGUCACUUAGAGAUGGAUCCGCGCUGCAUUAGCUAGUUGGUAAGGUAACGGCUUACCAAGGCAACGAUGGAUAGCCGACGCGAGAGGGUGAUCGCCCCCACUGGAACUGAGACACGGUCCAGACUCCUACGGGCGGCAGCGGCAGCGAAUCUUCGGAAAUGGGCGAAAGCCUGACGGAGCAAUGCCGCGUGAGUGAUGCAGGUCUUCGGAUCGUAAAACUCUGUUCUUAGGGAAGACCAUAUGUGUAAGUAACUGUGCACAUCUUGACGGUACCUAAUAAGAAAGCCCCGGCUAACUACGUG
RNAcentral lists this ribosomal RNA (497 nucleotides) under uncultured bacterium. RNAcentral describes it as "partial 16S ribosomal RNA". It matches the Rfam family "Bacterial small subunit ribosomal RNA", at positions 28 to 507 of the family's 1533-position model. The record is from RNAcentral.